This 3946-nucleotide long non-coding RNA is filed under the name Sus scrofa (pig). RNAcentral's name for it is "lncRNA (ENSSSCG00065035198.1)". The record is from RNAcentral. Lineage: Eukaryota; Metazoa; Chordata; Mammalia; Artiodactyla; Suidae.
UUUCCGCUGGCGCUGCCCGCCUUCGACCCGGUGUUGCCGCUGCGGCGGUGAUGGAGCGUAGACCCCUGAGGUCCGCUCUGCGCUGCUGGCGGAGACGAGGCCGCGGGGACCGCAGCGCCGGGCGACCACACCCUUGGUUUGAGGGACAAGCCUGCCUUUUGCGCACUUGGACUUUUCCCCACCCUCUUCUAAGUCUUAGUGCCUCCGUACCAGAUAAAGAUUUGCCUGAGAUUCCCAAGCAUCUCAAUGCCGGUACCCACAGUUCUAUUCACAUUUGUCCAACGAAUGUGAAGAAAACAGCAACCAAAUGACAGCCACAGAAUUGCAUCAAAAUGAUGCCGUUCGAGACAGGAAUUGUCACAGCACCAAAGCCAUUUCAAAUGCUUCGAGUCUGUGCCUUCUUUCUGCGCAAGGGACACGUGACUUGAAACUCUGUGGGCUCUGCAAACCUCAUUUGUUAGCUGGGAAAUUGAGACACAAAAGAGGCAUGUGGUUCCUCGCUGGGUCUGAACUCGGUUCCGUUCCCAAGUGGAAGGAACCGCCCAUCCUGCUGACCGUGUGGGAAGCCCUGCUGUCACUGCUCUCGCUGCUUCUGGGCUUGUGGGGAGUGUGGAGUCAGCAGUCUGUCCUGUUUCCGUCACCGGCCACAUCUCUUCCUCUGUGUUGUGCCCACGGCAAAGGGACCAGCGGAGUUCACGGUCUCAGCCCCGGGGAGGGGCAGUGAGAGGUGAACCACACGCCUCCUGCAAAGAACGAGCUAGAUGCACAUUCAGUGUUGAAUCGCUCAAGAAACUCUGCUCUGCUAAGACUGUGUGCGUAGAAGUGAGAUGGGGAGUUCCUGCUGUGGCUAAGUGGGUUAAGAACCCGAGCCGUAUCCAUGAGGACGCAGCUUCGAUCCCUGGCCUCACUCAGUGGGUUAAGAUCCUGCAUUGCCGUGAGCUGUGAUGUAGGUCACAGACUCGGCUUGGAUCUGGUGUUGCUGUUGGCUGUGGUGUAGACCCACGGCGGCAGCUCCAGUUGGACCGCUAGCCUGGGAACCUCCAUGUGCUUCAGGUGCCCCUAAAAAGGAAAAAAAAAAGAAGUGAAGUGGGAGAGCUUGCAGGUUUACCUGCCUCGCCCCGGCCAUCGCUGUCACUUGCAUUCGAGACUACAGACACACGGUGGGGGUGGGGGGCCAGGGGCUGCGGAGUCGUCGUUUCGUCUGCACGGAGUCCUGGUUUUGCAGGAUGGCAAGAGUUCUGGGACGGGAGCCACUGCAGGUGCUUUAGCGCCAUCGAGCUCACCCCACCCUUAAGGACGGUUAAAACAACACAAUUUAUGUUCUGUGCAUUUCCCCACAAUUAAAAAAUCAAUUUUAUAAAAAGCUAGAGGGUAAGUCUAACUCAGGGAGUCAGAAUUCCGAAGUGGCCUGUGAUUCCUCCUGGCCCAGCCCCACUGCCACGCAGUCGCCUGUUGCCUAUGGCGGCCAGACCUGUGAAUACGAUGGGGUUUCACUCCUGUCAUUGCUUAUCUGGUAAAGAUAAAGCGGUUAUGGAUGUGAUUCAGGUCCCUAAUCAGUGGCCUUUGACGUCGUUAAGGGGAAGGUCAGCCUGCGUGGGCUCACCUGGCCUAACCCUUGCCCAGAGGGCCUCCUGAGCGCGAUCUGAAGCCGUGGCUCCGAGAAGUGCCGAGUCGUGGAGCAGCCCACGAGGGAGGGCGGGGGGCCGAGGGGGCUCCCCUGCUCCUGUGUCACAGUGACCCCAGUGCCACCAACAGCCAGACAGCUUGCCGGGGGACCCCCUCCUCCCAGAGGAGACCCUGCAGAGGCCUCUGUGCCUGGACCCCUGACCACAAGGGGCGUGAGCUCCCGAGCCUGUGUUGUUGUGAAGGGCUGAGUUUCUGCUACUCUGGCGGCAGCAGAAGACAGAUAUUAAUCCUGUGGUCACUGGACGUGUCCAUUGGGCAUCUGUGGUCACUAGCCGUCUGUGGCCUCUCGCUGGGAUUCCACGGACCUGGCUGCUUCUUGGCUCGGGCAGGGGGCGGGGGGGUCAAACGUGCUCACCUGUAUUUUUGGCCACGCCUGUGACAUGCAGCAGUUCCUGGGCCAGGGCUUGAACCCAUGCCGCAGCAGCAACCAGAGCCACACUGGAUCCUCACACACUGAACCACCAGGGAACUCCCGGGUGAUCCCUUCCUCAUCCUCCUUCCCUGAUGUUUGAAAACAUCAAACGAAGUCAUGUUAAAUCUGUUAGAAGAUGUUUUGAUGCAAAAAUACAUGAUUAUCUGGAGACUGUAUCUGCUUAUAUGUUCAUGAUCCGUCUUCCUAAACAGGAAUGGCCGCUCCGUGUGAGAUCAGGGCUCUUGUUCUCCUACCUCCGCGGCACCCGUGCCGAGGACACGACACACAGCUGGAGAAAUGUACGUGAGCCCCAGAAAUCAGGUCCAGUUUGCAUGCGCUCUCAUGACAGUACCACGGCCUAGAUGUUAAUAAAGAGAAAACAUCAGCACUUUUCUCUUGGAAACUUUGUAAUCUAACAGUCCAUGGAUUUAUCCCUCACAUAACUCCUAAAACAUAACUUAGGAGAUACUAGUUUUAAUUAAGUAUAUUCACCCGCGUGCCAGAAUUUGAUCACUUCCUUAACAUAAGAGCUGAAGAAACAGAGCAGACGAAACCGGAGGAAGAGUGCACGUGUUCUACCGCAGACACCCACUCCCAGGGACCGUGACAACAGCCGAGGGUGGCAGGGUUCCGCCCUGCCCAGAACGAGGGCUCGGGUUUGGUGCCGUCCCACGAGCCAGCACUGCGGAUCUCAGGGUAAAGAAGUGAGCUCCCGAGACUGUUUUCUAGCAGACAGGUCCCCUCGGUGCGUGGCACUUGGGGUGAAUUUUCAAGCUUGGACCCGUGAGAGAGGGCGGAAACAAAGCAGCAUUGGCUCGUCUCAGAGCCAGAUCGAUGUGGAAGAUUUUCCAGUUUGUCACUCCAACGGCUAGAAUGUGCCAGGAAGAUGGAAGCGUGUGGGCAGGAAUGGGAAUCUGGUUCUUUUUAGAGGACGACGUGGGCCCCAUGAGACCUAAGACCCAGGUCGUCUGAAGACCUAAGAGGGGCCGAUACAAGAACGUUGUGUGGCCCUUUCACUCUCUUAGUAGGAAUACACCUGCAAAUGGUUCUUUCCUUUUUUCUCUAUUCCUCCUCAGGGCACCUUCCUAAACCUCGGCCAUCCCAUAAAUCAAAAGACUCUCCUGAUUCCUCUAUGUGUUUUUGUUUUUUUCUCUAACUAGGGACACGCCUAACUCCACCACUUUCCAUGUCUGCCUUUCACUUUAAAAACUGUAGUAUGGAUUUAAAAUAGCAUUUGGGGAGUUCCCGUUGUGGCUCAGUUGGUUAAGGACCUGAUGUUGUCUCUCUGAGGAUGUGGGUUUGAUCCCUGACCUCAUGAAGUGGGUUAAGGAUCCAGCAUUGCCACAAGCUGUGGUGUCGCAGCUGCAGCUCUGAUUCGACUCCUGGCCUGGGAACGUCCAUAGGCUGCAUGUGUAACUCUAAAGAGAAUUGAAAAAAGGAAGGAAAGAAGGACGGACGAGAAAGAAAGCAGAAGAGGUCACCUUUGGGACAAGCUGAGAAAGGACUUCGCGUAAAAGGAAUAGGAAACCUGGAGAAGAAGCUGAAUGUUCCACGAUUAAAAUACGGACUCCGGUUGAGAAACUCCUGGACCAGGAAAAUUCUAACAUGUUGAUGUGUGCAGUGUGACUAAAACGUCUGUAUUUAUGUCUCUGGCUCUGUUUUGUUUCUAUGUAUAUUUGACCCUUCCCCCCCAUCGAAUUUGUGUCAUUUCAUUGCAUUUCGUGUCUCCCCAAUUCACCUCAAAUUCUCUUUGUAUAUGUAAUACCCCACCUCCAACCAACUUGUGAGCCACCCUUAGUUAUCUUUUAUUUACGGCAGAAUCAUCAAUAGAUGCGCUGUAAUAUCAAA